CCUACGGGAGGCAGCAGUGGGGAAUUUUGGACAAUGGGGGCAACCCUGAUCCAGCCAUUCCGCGUGAGUGAAGAAGGCCUUCGGGUUGUAAAGCUCUUUCGCAAGGGAAGAAAACUUAUGAUCGAAUAAAUCAUGAGGUUGACGGUACCUUGAUAAGAAGCACCGGCUAACUACGUGCCAGCAGCCGCGGUAAUACGUAGGGUGCGAGCGUUAAUCGGAAUUACUGGGCGUAAAGCGUGCGCAGGCGGUUUUGUAAGUCGGAUGUGAAAUCCCCGGGCUCAACCUGGGAACUGCGUUCGAAACUGCAAGGCUAGAGUGUGUCAGAGGGGGGUAGAAUUCCACGUGUAGCAGUGAAAUGCGUAGAGAUGUGGAGGAAUACCAAUGGCGAAGGCAGCCCCCUGGGAUAACACUGACGCUCAUGCACGAAAGCGUGGGGAGCAAACAGGAUUAGAUACCCUGGUAGUCCACGCCCUAAACGAUGUCAACUAGUUGUUGGUAGAGUAAAAUCUAUGAGUAACGUAGCUAACGCGUGAAGUUGACCGCCUGGGGAGUACGGUCGCAAGAUUAAAACUCAAAUGAAAUUGACGG
RNAcentral lists this ribosomal RNA (588 nucleotides) under uncultured bacterium. Its description in RNAcentral is "bacterial SSU rRNA". It matches the Rfam family "Bacterial small subunit ribosomal RNA", at positions 338 to 916 of the family's 1533-position model. The record is from RNAcentral.